This 463-nucleotide ribosomal RNA is filed under the name uncultured bacterium. Its description in RNAcentral is "bacterial SSU rRNA". It matches the Rfam family "Bacterial small subunit ribosomal RNA", at positions 48 to 524 of the family's 1533-position model. The record is from RNAcentral.
CUAACACAUGCAAGUCGAGCGGUAACAGGUGUAGCAAUACAUGCUGACGAGCGGCGAACGGGUGAGUAAUGCUUCGGAAUCUACCCUCUAGUGGGGAACAACCAGCCGAAAGGUUGGCUAAUACCGCAUACGUCCUACGGGAGAAAGCAGGGGAUCGUAAGACCUUGCGCUGAUGGAUGAGCCGAAGUCGGAUUAGCUAGUUGGUGGGGUAACGGCUCACCAAGGCGACGAUCCGUAGCUGGUCUGAGAGGACGACCAGCCACACUGGAACUGAGACACGGUCCAGACUCCUACGGGAGGCAGCAGUGGGGAAUAUUGCGCAAUGGGGGAAACCCUGACGCAGCGACGCCGCGUGCGGGAUGAAGGCCUUCGGGUUGUAAACCGCUUUCACCAGGGACGAAGCGAGAGUGACGGUACCUGGGGAAGAAGCGCCGGCUAACUACGUGCCAGCAGCCGCGGUAAU